This 346-nucleotide ribosomal RNA is filed under the name uncultured bacterium. RNAcentral describes it as "partial 16S ribosomal RNA". It matches the Rfam family "Bacterial small subunit ribosomal RNA", at positions 338 to 681 of the family's 1533-position model. The record is from RNAcentral.
CCUACGGGUGGCAGCAGUGAGGAAUAUUGGUCAAGGGGCGCGAGCCUGAACCAGCCAAGUAGCGUGAAGGAUGACUGCCCUACGGGUUGUAAACUUCUUUUAUAAAGGAAUAAAGUGAGGCACGUGUGCGUUUUUGUAUGUACGUUAUGAAUAAGGAUCGGCUAACUCCGUGACAGCAGCCGCGGUAAUACGGAGGAUCCGAGCGUUAUGCGGAUUUAUUGGGUUUAAAGGGAGCGUAGAUGGGUUGUUAAGUCAGUUGUGAAAGUUUGCGGCUCAACCGUAAAAUGGCAAUUGAUACUGGCAGUCUUGAGUACAGUUGAGGUAGGCGGAAUUCGUGGUGUAGCGG